Molecule: ribosomal RNA, 502 nt
Filed under: uncultured Sphingobacteriales bacterium
Lineage: Bacteria; Pseudomonadati; Bacteroidota; Sphingobacteriia; Sphingobacteriales
Description: bacterial SSU rRNA
Rfam family: Bacterial small subunit ribosomal RNA
Source: RNAcentral
CGCCUUGCCAGCCCGCUCAGAAACUUAAAGGAAUUGACGGGGCCGCACAAGCGGAGGAGCAUGUGGUUUAAUUCGAUGAUACGCAGGAACCUUACCUGGGCUCGAACGUAAGAUGACUGUAGGUGAAAGCUUACAUCUCUUCGGAGCAUUUUACGAGGUGCUGCAUGGUUGUCGUCAGCUCGUGCCGUGAGGUGUCGGGUUAAGUCCCAUAACGAGCGCAACCCCUACCUUUAGUUGCCAUCAGGUAAUGCUGGGGACUCUAAAGGAACUGCCUACGCAAGUAGUGAGGAAGGCGGGGAUGACGUCAAAUCAGCACGGCCCUUACGUCCAGGGCUACACACGUGCUACAAUGGCCGAUACAGAGGGCAGCUACCUGGUGACAGGAUGCAAAUCUCCAAAGUCGGUCUCAGUUCGGAUCGGAGUCUGCAACCCGACUCCGUGAAGUUGGAUUCGCUAGUAAUCGCGCAUCAGCCAUGGCGCGGUGAAUACGUUCCCGGGCCUU